GGACGACGGCGAGGUGGUCGUGCGCACGGGCUCCAAAUCCAACAGGAAGAUGGGCGACG
Molecule: transfer RNA, 59 nt
Filed under: Mesodinium pulex
Lineage: Eukaryota; Ciliophora; Litostomatea; Cyclotrichida; Mesodiniidae
Description: partial Selenocysteine transfer RNA
Source: RNAcentral